Long non-coding RNA from Taeniopygia guttata (zebra finch), 1832 nucleotides. RefSeq lists it as uncharacterized. NCBI's taxonomy places the organism in Eukaryota, Metazoa, Chordata, Aves, Passeriformes, Estrildidae. The record is from RefSeq and is a predicted model, not a curated record.
UUUCAGAUUUACGCACAGGCCAGAUGGGGCUGUUGAAGGGUGAGUGGGUUUUGCUGACCACCCCUUGGCUCUCUAGCUCAUGGAUCAUUUUGUGGAUGGGGAUCACGGCAUCUUGAUUUGUUCAGUACUGCUGGCGGUGCACUGUUGAGGCGGUAAUUGGUACUCGUUGCUCUUCUACCUUCAAGAGUCCUACUGCAGAUGGGUUUUCUGAUAGUCCAGAUGCAGGUCCACUCUGUGCAGCAGCAGGGCUUCUUCUGGUCUCAGCCAUGCUGGGGGAGGGGACUUGAUGGUAAGAUCUUAUCUACGGCCUGCCCUGCUCUGGCCGGGGCUCUGCAGCCUCCCCCACAUUCCUGCCCGGAAACUGCUGGGGCUCAGCCCAGCCAGAAUGGGGUUCAGUGUCUCCCGGAGCCCCCACAGCAGAGUCUGCCCGGCCUGGCCCGGGACAGGACCUAGCAAGCUUCCCGGGCCUGGCCAGGAUGGGACCCGGCAGGCCCGGGGUGUGUUACCUUCUUGCUGGCUGGGAAAGAAAGAGAAAGUUCCCAGGUUUCUUUCGUCUUUAACAUGUGUCUUUCACAGAGGCAUGUCUAGCUUUUCAGUGGUUCAACAGACUGUUAGUUACGCAAAAAGUUUUUACAUCACUUCCCUACAUUCCUCCCAUGUCAAAACCAUGACAGCCACAUAGAGCAAAUUAAUGGCCCUCAUCACACAGCGUGCCCAUAUUAGAAAAAUUAAUCACCAUAGGAUUUUAGAGAUAAUUACAAAUUAGCCUAAAAGUAAAAACUUUAGUCUCUCUAACGAAAAAGAACAAGAAGUAACAUGUACUAAAGAAGCUGCAUCAUACAACCAACUACCAACAGAAGAAACAUGUUAUGCUCUUUUUGCUAAUAGUUCUUGCUGCAUUGUAAUAAUAAAACAAAAGUAGAAAACAACCAUAUAGAGCCCAACAUGACAAAUCACAAAAGCUACUGAAAGAGAAGAUAGAUCGAGCCAACUCACAGAACUCAAAGCCGUUCAACUAGCCCUAGACAUUGCUAAAAGAGAGAAGUAGCUAUAGCUCUAUCUCUACACCGAUUCAUAGAUAGUAGCCAAUGCUCUGUGGGGAUGGCUGGAGUAGUAGAAAAAAGCUAAUUAGCAGUAUAGAAGAAAACCAAUUUGAGAUGCUGAAGAUUAAAAAAAUAUCACUACCAAGGUAAAAAAACUGCCUAUAAAAGUCUGCCUAGUGGAUGCCCAUGUACCCAAGAGUAGAGCUAAUAAGGAGCACCAAAACAAUAAGCAAGUAGAUCAAGUUACAAAGAUAGAAGUGUCAAAAAUAGGCUUAGAUUAGCAACACAAAGGAAAGUUGUUCCUAGUUCAAUAGGCCCAUAAUGCCUCAAGUCAUCAGAGUAGAAAUGCCACCUAUAAAUAAGCACAAAACCAAGGGGUAGAUUUAAUCAUAAACAAUAUUUCUCAAGUUAUCCAUGAUUGUGAGAUGUUUGCUAUUAUCAAGCAAACCAAGCACGUAAAGCCCCUAUGGUAUGGUGGGCGGUACUCCAAAUAUAAAAAUAGGGAAGUCUAGCAGCUUGACUACAUCACACUGUCCCAGACAUGCCAAAGUAAGCGCUAUGUGCUCACAAUAGUAGAAGCCAACACGGGAUGGCUGAAGACCUACCCUAUGCCUCACACUACAGCCCAUAACACCAUCUCAAGUCUUGAAAAACAAGUCCUUUGGAGGCAUGGUACCCCUGAGAGGAUUGAGUCAGACAAUAAAACUUAUUUCAAGAACAGCCUUAUCAACACCUAAGCUAAAGAACAUAGCAUUGAGUGGGUGUACCAUAUCCCCUACCAUGUGCCAA